CUCAGGACGAACGCUGGCGGCGUGCCUAAUACAUGCAAGUCGAGCGGACCUUUCGGGGUCAGCGGCGGACGGGUGAGUAACACGUGGGCAAUCUGCCCGAUACUCUGGGAUAACGCUUGGAAACGAGUGCUAAUACCGGAUGGUCUUCUUGGUCGCAUGGCCGAGAAGGAAAAGACGCGUUCGCGUCGGUGUCGGAUGAGCCCGCGGCGCAUUAGCUAGUUGGUGAGGUAACGGCCCACCAAGGCGACGAUGCGUAGCCGACCUGAGAGGGUGACCGGCCACACUGGGACUGAGACACGGCCCAGACUCCUACGGGAGGCAGCAGUAGGGAAUCUUCCACAAUGGGCGAAAGCNUGAUGGAGCAACGCCGCGUGAGUGAUGAAGGCCUUCGGGUUGUAAAACUCUGUCAUUCGGGACGAACCGGAGUCUGAGGAAAUGCAGACUCUCUGACGGUACCGGAGGAGGAAGCCCCGGCUAACUACGUGCCAGCAGCCGCGGUAAUACGUAGGGGGCAAGCGUUGUCCGGAUUCACUNNNGGGCGUAAAGCGCGCGCAGGCGGUGAUGUAAGUCUGAGGUGAAAACCCGAAGCUCAACUUCGGGACUGCCUUGGAUACUGCGUCACUUGAGGAUAGGAGAGGCAAGGGGAAUUCCACGUGUAGCGGUGAAAUGCGUAGAGAUGUGGAGGAACACCUGUGGCGAAGGCGCCUUGCUGGCCUAUUUCUGACGCUGAGGCGCGAAAGCGUGGGGAGCAAACAGGAUUAGAUACCCUGGUAGUCCACGCUGUAAACGAUGAGUGCUAGGUGUAGGUGGGCUCAUACCCAUCUGUGCCGAAGCUAACGCAUUAAGCACUCCGCCUGGGGAGUACGGUCGCAAGACUGAAACUCAAAGGAAUUGACGGGGGCCCGCACAAGCAGUGGAGCAUGUGGUUUAAUUCGAAGCAACGCGAAGAACCUUACCAGGACUUGACAUCCCAUAGACCAGUCUAGAGAUAGACUUUCCCUUCGGGGCUGUGGUGACAGGUGGUGCAUGGUUGUCGUCAGCUCGUGUCGUGAGAUGUUGGGUUAAGUCCCGCAACGAGCGCAACCCUUACUUUGUGUUGCCAGCAUUCAGUUGGGCACUCACAAGGGACUGCCGCCGAUAAGGCGGAGGAAGGUGGGGAUGACGUCAAAUCAUCAUGCCCCUUAUGUCCUGGGCUACACACGUGCUACAAUGGGCGGUACAACGGGAUGCGAAGCCGCGAGGUGGAGCCAAACCCUGAAAACCGUUCGUAGUUCGGAUUGUAGGCUGCAACUCGCCUACAUGAAGCCGGAAUUGCUAGUAAUCGCGGAUCAGCAUGCCGCGGUGAAUCCGUUCCCGGGCCUUGUACACACCGCCCGUCACACCACGAGAAUGGGCAACACCCGAAGUCGGUGGGGUAACCUUUACGGGAGCUAGCCGCCGAAGGUGGGGCCUGUGAUUGGGGUGAAGUCGUAACAAGGUAUCC
This 1483-nucleotide ribosomal RNA is filed under the name uncultured bacterium. RNAcentral's name for it is "bacterial SSU rRNA". It matches the Rfam family "Bacterial small subunit ribosomal RNA". The record is from RNAcentral.